This 4889-nucleotide long non-coding RNA is filed under the name Pelobates cultripes (western spadefoot toad). Lineage: Eukaryota; Metazoa; Chordata; Amphibia; Anura; Pelobatidae. The record is from RNAcentral.
UUAUAUGGAUUUUUUUUUAUUAUUCUAUCAAUCCUCGCUCUCAUUUGUUCCUUAUUACAUCUCCGGCCAGAGCGUUUAGUACCAUCACAAAGUCUGCUUCCACGUAGGCGAAAGAAUGUUGCAUGAUGGAGGUAGCUCCAGAUAUACCAGUCAACGCUGAAUCCAGGCCAGUUAGUGCUCCCUUCUCGACAACUAGCAAAUUGGCAUAAACUUUUGAAAUAUUUGACCACAUCAGUUAUAACAGGCUCAUAUGAAUUUAUCACAUCAGCACUGGAUUACAAAACAUCUGAAUUUGAUUCUUGUGCUUUGUUCCACCUUGCGCUGACAAGAAGUGGAUUCAUAGAAGUUCUCUGUUCGCCCUGCUCUGCAUGUACACCCUGAACAAUAAACACAAGCAUUGUCUCCUUGGCAUAUAAGAAUCUGAAUAGGUUGCCAUAAGAACCUUUAACGGGCUAAAUCUUUUCAAGAUGACUUUGUGUUGCUUCUGUUGUAGGUCCCAUGGAAAGGUCUGGCAUUCUGCUUUAACAAGCUGCAAGUGGUAGAGAAUUCAAUCACAGAACAUUGUAUUUUUCGUUGGCAUCCACUAUACACUUGAAUGAGAUCACCAAGAACAUAAACUUUUUUUUUUUUAACAUUCAAUGGCUGCAUUAAUUGCAGUAUUAUGAGUCCUGAGCAAAUUAAAUGUAUUCAUUAUGCUCUGAGCUACUUAUCUUUAUUGGAAUGUGCUACAUUGUAGUAUCCUUAAUUCUUGGGAUGUGAUGAAUUGAAGCACUCCGACCACCUUUGUCUACUUGUUUCCGAUCCCUUAAAAUCUAUACACAUUUGAGAAAAGGUAACUGCUUUUCUACCCUAAUCUUUGUACAGGCUGCUUUAUUUGUAAAAGUCAUCACGAACAAAAGGUUACUGGCCCCGCCCCCUUGGUGACAUUAGAAUUGCCGAUUUUUAGCCAAUCCAAUGCUUUCCCUUGUGGAAAGCAACUGGAUUGGCUAAAUAUCGGCAAGGGGCCAAAACACAGUUUUGGCCAAUCGGCACCUACUCAUAGACAUGCAUUGAAUCAAUGCAUCCCUGUGAGGAAAAUUCAGCGUCCCCAUGCAGAGUGUGGAGACACUGAACGGCACUGCUGACUACUGUUCAGCACCUCCAGUGGCCAGUUGAGGAGUGGCCACUUGGAGGUGUCACUAGUGGCAAUGUGAACACUGCCUUUUAUCUGAAAAGGUAGUGUUUGCAUGAAAAUGCCUGCGUAUAAGGAUUAUACGCGCCAGAAAAACUACAUUAAGCUGUAGUUCUGGUGACUAUAGUGUCCCUUUAACUACAUUUGACUAGACAAUGGGCCAAUAGGUCCAACUUUCGUGAUGAAAAUGGACCUUGUUGGUGUUUAUACACUAAAAAACUAAACUGGAGUGAGAAAAGGAAUGCUCAUAACCAACUUCUCCAAUUUAGCAAUAGUCAAAGCUUGGCUAAUUUUCAAAUCAGAUCUCGAUUACUGAGAGUCUACAGUUAAAAUGCUACUCAAACAUCAGAUGCAGCAAACUUAUCUCUAAUCAGUUAAAGAAAUACAAUUGAAUAAAAAAAAUAUUUGUAUUCAGCAUUACUUAUAAUUAAACGCAUUUGCAAUAUACAUAAUUAAAAAGAACUGCAAUCACUCAUUUUAUUAAUGAGCAAAUAUUUGGAAUAAGAAAUAUCAGUCAAAUGUAAGAUUAACCAAAUCUAUUGUUAGCUGUUCCACAGUUUACCUUAAAAUAGUAUUAAAAAUAAAAAAGAAACAAAGACAAAACCUGCUCUCGUUAUAAAAAGAAAAUAAAACUCACAAAUGAGGCAGUUAAAGAAAAAAAAAAGUGUAUAGAUUUACAAAAUGUGUAUAUUAUUUCAUGUAAACUGCACGCCAACAUUAUACACCAAAGAAACAAAAAUUACAAACAGUAUAUAUAUUUUACAAAUGUAGCAAUAACUUAUUUCUUAACAUGCAUAACAUGCAAUAAAAAGUACAUUAGUAGAGAUACACAAGCUUUGAAAUGUUCCAUACUGGAGAAAGGGCAAAGGGAUUUGAUGUUCUAUGUAUGCCAACAACUUAGAAUGGAAAUUCACAACUUGUUCAACGUUAUUUGUAGCAGCCUCCAUUUUGUCUUUUAUGAAGUUAAACUGUACACGAAAUAGGGGGCGAUUUAAUAUGGGAAAUCUAUUAAGAAUCAUUCCAACUUUGCUCGACGAUAGCAGAUACUCUCUUCUCAUAUUCUCGUUUAUUUUCCUGAUAAAGCUGAGCUGCUUGACUGUUGGCAGGGCUAUUCGGAUUCGGCUCAUCCAGCAGAGACUAAAAUGUAAAAUUUAGAUAUUGUAUUACAGGUUACCCAAACUUGUUUGAAAAAAAAAAAAAAAACACAUUAUAAAUAUGCAGGACAGAAUGUUCAUUAUGGGGAAGGAAAAUAUAAAGAAAAACAAUUAUAUCCUUGUAAAAGAGGCUGAGCUCAGGGAUUUGCUACAAGAACAGCCAAUUAUGUAACCAUUAGCUCCUUGUAACAGGUAUUUGAUGGCCUCACUGAGAAUGAGAGGUUCUGGGACAGGAUCAAACACCAAUUUACAUUUCCCCCUACACCUCAUUGUGACUAAGUGGCUACUAAAAAAGACUGGACAUACCCUGUUUGCAAUACCUUGGGUUGUCUCUAUUGCAAAUGGUAGGCCAUCAGAGGGGUAAUUUUCAUAGGUGUUGGGGGGAGCUAUAGAAACUGUAGACUAAUGCAUUUGAUGGGAUUUGCAUACUUCUGUUUUAGCACAGUGUGUGAUGGAAGUUCAGUUUGUGAGAAUUAAGAGUUUACAAUUCUUGUGGUUAAAAGUGUGUGAUGGAUCGUUACAUGUGCAAUAAGGAUGUGUCAUGGGAGUUUUAUAUUGUAUUUUAUGAAGUUAAACUGUACACGAAAUAGGGGGCGAUUUAAUAUGGGAAAUCUAUUAAGAAUCAUUCCAACUUUGCUCGAAAAUAGCGGAUACUCUUCUCAUAUUCUCGUUAAUUUUCCUGAUAAAGCUGAGCUUACAAUUCUUGUGGUUAAAAGUGUGUGAUGGAUCUUUACAUGUGCAAUAAGGAUGUGUCAUGGGAGUUUUACAUCUAUGAUAAAGGUUGUAUUUGUGUGAGGACUGACUGCAUGAUUGUUAUGGGGCUCUUUGUAUGGUUCUGUGUGUCUUCAGAAACUGUAGGCUGUUGAAAUGAAGUCAGAUGCUAGCAUCCUACAUUUUGAGCUGCAAAUGAGCUUUAAUGUUUAUUAUCUGUAAUGACAAGCACACUUAGUUAGCAAUACUCGCAUAUUAGUAGACAUUCUUAUACCUAAUUAGCCACAUACAUAACGGGCUACUCGCUCACACAUAUACUCAAAUAUAAACUUAUACUUGAAGGAACAUUCCAAACAUAUUUUGUUGCCAGGACUGUCCUGUCACCCCAAUUAACCCCUUAAGGACUGAGCCAAAUUUACACGUUGUGAACAAAACAAAAUGUAAACAAAACCUGGCAUUUGCGCUACAUGUCUGUCCAACCGUAAUUCACCUCUUUCAUAUUAAAUGCACCCACCCUUAUUAUAUAUCAUUUUAUUCAGGGGAAACAGGGCUUUCAUUUAAUAUCAAAUAUUUAGCUAUGAAACAAUAUGAAAAUUUUUUUUUUUUUUAGUUCUACAUGACAUUUUAACUGUCAAUGUCAUAAUACUGUUUAGUUUUACUGCAAUAAAAUACACAUAUCUGUAUUCAGCAAAGUCUCACGUGUAAAACAGUACCUCCUAUGUACAGGUUUUAUGGCGUUUUGGGAAGUUACAGGGUAAAAUAUAGCACAUUACAUUUGAAAUUUGCCAGAUUGGCUACGUUGCCUUUGGGACUGUAUAGUAGCCCAGGAAUGAAAUUUACACCCAUAAUGGCAUACCAUUUGCAAUAGUAGACAAUCCAAGGUAUUGCAAAUGGGAUACGUCCAGUCUUUUUUAGUAGCCAUUUGGCCUGAAAAUGAGGGAGUGGUGGCAGUUUAGAAAUCAUGUCCUGAUUUUUCAGCUUUUGCCAGCUCCCACUCUAGCUUUGCCAUUCAUUCAUAUGGGACAAAUUUCACCACAAGAACGACGAUAUUCCGUGAACCAUUCGGCGAAACGUUCCACAAAGUAAUAGCAAUCCGAUCGGGAACAAUCUGCACGUUUUGGUAAAUUUUUGUCUAUGUAGAGUAAAAACUGUGGGAGGAGUUAGGGUGGCAAAUUUGGCUAUAAUAAGAAUAAGAAUAAUAAUAUAUAUGUGAGAUAACAUUAAGUGGUCUUGCUAUGCAAGAACACUUAAUAUAUAUGUGAGAUAACAUUAAGUGUUCUUGCAAUGCAAGAACACUUUAAAAAUGAAACACAAGCCUUAUAUUUGACACUAACUUUUGAAAACACCAUAAAACCUGUACAUGAGGGGUACUGUUGUACUUGGGAGACUUCGCUGAACACAAAUAUUUGUGUUUCAAAACAGUAAAAAGUAUCACAGCAAUAAUAUCGUCCGUGUAAGUGCGGGUUGUGCAUGAAAAAUGCAAAAAACUUCACUUUUACUGGCGAUAUCGUCGUUGUAAUACAUUUUACAGUUUUGAAACACUAAUAUGUGUUUAGCGAAGUCUCCCGAAUAGAACAGUACCCCCCAUGUACAGGUUUUAUGGUGUCUUGGAAAGUUAUAGGGUUAAAUAGAGUGUUAGCAAAUUAAAUUCCCUUUACUUUCGGCAUGGGUUGUCAGGCAGGUCCCGCUAAUUGUAAUUAAUAAAGAUACCUAAUUAUGUAAAAAUAUUACAUAAAUAUAUAUAUUAGUGAUAUAUACGUAUAUAGAUAUAUAUUUCGUUCUAUGUGUAUUUUGAUAUAAAUAUAUAUUAAUAUCACAAUACUGUUAGAACGAAACACAUCUAUAUUUUUUAA